Molecule: ribosomal RNA, 253 nt
Filed under: uncultured bacterium
Lineage: Bacteria
Description: partial 16S ribosomal RNA
Rfam family: Bacterial small subunit ribosomal RNA
Source: RNAcentral
UACGUAGGUGACCAGCGUUGUCCGGAUUUACUGGGCGUAAAGAGCGCGCAGGCGGUCGUUCAAGUCGAGUGUGAAAGCCCCCGGCUCAACUGGGGAGGGUCAUUCGAUACUGAUCGACUCGAAGGCAGAAGAGGGAAGCGGAAUUCACGGUGUAGCAGUGAAAUGCGUAGAUAUCGUGAGGAAGACCAGUGGCGAAGGCGGAUCUCUGGACAGUUCCUGACGCUGAGGCGCGAAGGCCAGGGGAGCAAACGGG